GAUAGUGCAGCUGGUGGCCUUGAGAGAAGGAGUUGGAAGAGACCUCAGCAAGGGCUGCCCUGCUUCCCAGGGACCUGCUUUUAUGCUGGGGGUCUUGCCCUUGGUCCCUGCCCACGAUGUGCUGCAGCUGUGUGGCAGCCGUGCCUGCACCCCGCCAUGGACCUGCUGAUCUGUAGGAUGUGGGAAAGCAGGUCCUGGGCCCAGCAUCAUCCAGGAUGAAUCCCAAGCCGUGAGAUCAAUGUAUGUAUAAACGAGCUCUGUAGACUUUGUCCUACCGAACUUCUAUUGAAGGCUGAAGCCAGCGAGUCUGCCACCAAUGCAGUUUGUUAUGAAGCUGCAGUCUGCUUGUAAACAAGGAUUUGUAGAUGAAAACAUAGGGAAGUUUUUGCCAAGCCCUCUCUGACACAGUUUGUGAUCAGCUCUGCCUAACUGCUAACCUCUCAUAUGCAAAGAGAAAAGCUUUCUCCUGCCUCCUGAUGACUGCCAGAGCCUGUGACUCGGCUGCAUCCACAGGCUUUCACUUUUUAUUAUCGGCUGUGAUGCGUAAGUGCUGCUCUCCAGAUUUCACACUUCUGCAGCAAGACAGCUUCCCUCCACAGAGGCAGCGAGACGAGGCAAACAUUUCCCCACUUCGUGCUCACAUAUUCUCACUGUUGCGACUGAGACUCGAGUUUCACUCAUUCACCUUCUGCCGAUUGUGGCUUUUCUUCCAAAGCUAACGCGUCUCUUGCAGCUGCAGCGGGGACUCGUGCACUUGACUCCUACUUCAGAUUAACAAAGCUCUCCCUACCGACUCCGAAAAUGACAGCCCGCUCAGCUUCUGCGGAAACGCUCUCCAGCACUUCUGGGAGAGCUGCCGUCUGCCUCACCGUCCAGACUGUGCAUGGCUUGAAGCUGCCUACAAGAUUUAUUUCUGUGUCUGGAAGGAGACUCUCGCUGCGCUGUCCCAGUCACAAUCUGUGCUUUUUUAAUCAGAUCUCGGCCCCCCAUCUCUAGUUGCAAAUCUGGCUCUUCUGCCUCAGAUCGGUCACAAACAUUUGUUUCUCUCCCAUUGUCUUUGUGUUCUUUGUUUCCACACAGUGCAAUUUCUUAAAAUAUUCUUCUCCUGUCCCAGAGUUCAAUCAAAGCCAUGGAACACAACAGAAAUCUGUUUCACUCAGCAUGUGAUUUUGAAUUGGCAAUUAACUUUCCUCUGAAACAAAUUAAUAAAAACAACUCCAUGAUCCACAGAAAUACUCCAGCCUUCAAUGAAAGAACAGCAAGAUCAAAUGCUCAAAAUUAAGACAUGACAGCCUGAUAAUUGACUGUGUAAUUUACACAUAACCACACGUUUUCUUGCCCAGAGCAGAAGACAGACUAUCGAGCAACAGAACUGUGUUUGGACAGGCAUCCUCUGCUUGGUCUUCUGGAUGUGGCACAUUUGAUGAGAAUCUAAAUAAUCUCAGUGUAUAUAUUGGUUUUUAGCAUAUUAUUUUGUACAGAAGUAAGACCCAAACAAUUGGUUUUGUUUUGUUUUGUUUUUCUAUUAACAGUUUGAUAUAAAAAGGGAAAAUGGAAGGCAAAAGGUGUUAUAUUCUGCAGUGAACUUUUCAGAACAAGAAAUAAUCCAGAAUUAUAAAUUGGAAAUACGAGAGCCGUGUGUUCCCAGUCCCACUGCAUUGCCAUUUGAGGUAUACGUAACAGAAAACCAGUAGGGUAUUUUCACAAGACAGACCCUGCUCAGAGGUUUGGAGAAUCUGAACAAUUUUAUACAUCUGCUAACUAAUGUGUUAUUAUCUUUAAGAAUGAAAAGCCCCCAGUGAAAAUCUAGUUGCUGUUAUCUGACAUUCACAAUUGUGCUGUGAAAAUUGCACAGACACGAUGUCUUCUUUCUACAUUAUUUACCACUCCUUUAAAAUCUCUUUUCUGCUAUUCUCAUAUUUUCCUUUUUGUCAAACCACAUGUUAUUCAAGGAUCAUGGAUAUUUAGUCCAUGUAAGUGCAUAAUGAGGACAUUGAGCCUAAGUAUAAUUAAAACCCUUCUACGUAAAAUGAUUACAUAUUCAAUUAAUAGAAACAUACUUUAAAAUCUCCCUUGAUUUUUAAUCUGUUGACAGAGGCAGCUGCUGCUUCCAGUGGUCUUUUUGUAUGCAUUGACUCUUCUUGUCAGCAGUAUUACAUCAAUAAAUGCAUACGCCUGUCAUGCUGUGAUUAAA
This is a non-coding RNA of Anas platyrhynchos (mallard), 2194 nucleotides long. The record is from RefSeq and is a predicted model, not a curated record. NCBI's taxonomy places the organism in Eukaryota, Metazoa, Chordata, Aves, Anseriformes, Anatidae.